RNAcentral lists this long non-coding RNA (264 nucleotides) under Heterocephalus glaber (naked mole-rat). Its description in RNAcentral is "lncRNA (ENSHGLG00000050865.1)". The record is from RNAcentral. Lineage: Eukaryota; Metazoa; Chordata; Mammalia; Rodentia; Bathyergidae.
GCGCCCGGCUAGUGCUGGAAGUGGUUCCUAUUGGCCAAGGUGUCCGAGUAAAUAGAUGGUUCGAGGGAGGACAUGGAGGCAGCCACCUAGCUCAGCGCAGCCGCGGAGCCCACAGCAGCGCCCUCCCGAGUCCCGAGGCCGCUGCUGCCCACGUCCGCGCCCGGACACUGCCGCCCAGCUCCGCCGUCCGCGGGACACACGGCCCGGACCCGGCGGCUCGGGGCGCUUCGGGGCUGAGCUCCGGAGCCCAGGUCCGCGCGCGGU